Daphnia carinata is the source of this 401-nucleotide long non-coding RNA. RefSeq lists it as uncharacterized. The record is from RefSeq and is a predicted model, not a curated record. The transcript is spliced from 3 exons. NCBI's taxonomy places the organism in Eukaryota, Metazoa, Arthropoda, Branchiopoda, Diplostraca, Daphniidae.
UUUCACUGUUACUAAAAGGCAUCAUAUCGAACAAGGACUUCAUGGUAUUACACCUGAGCAGGUUCUACUGUGCUACUGAUAUCAUCGUGUCUGAAUAUCGAUCGACACUACAACUGGCUGUUUCAUAGGCGUCGUCUUACUGCGAGAGUUAAAAGAAGUCAGAGAAGAUACACAGAAAUGUUUUAUAAACAAGAAAAAGGGAAGAAAAAAAAGUCUUAUAAUGGGAUCUAGCCGCCAGCGUAUCACCAACCGACUGAUCCUAAUGGGUCUGGAACAUCCACCAUGCCAAGACGAUGAUGAUAUGACUUAAAACGGGUCAAACGCGACGAUGGCCAAAGCUCAAGUGUCACUAUGUGCAGGAUAUGACGUUGAUAUCUUGUGAUAGGUAAAUCAUUCACUGU